RNAcentral lists this ribosomal RNA (381 nucleotides) under Triticum aestivum (bread wheat). RNAcentral's name for it is "partial small subunit ribosomal RNA". The record is from RNAcentral. Lineage: Eukaryota; Viridiplantae; Streptophyta; Magnoliopsida; Poales; Poaceae.
UUUGCGCGUUCUACAUGGUCAGUCAUCCAAAUAGCGUCAAAUUUGUAUCCGCCCACAAGUGUUGCUAAUAGUUUUGGUCAUUGGUUGGACGGUAUUUCAAAUAGGUUCAAAACGCUAAUAAGGGUGGGAGCGUAUGCCUUACUAUGGUCGCUUUGGCUAUGUAGAAACGAUUUGGUUUUUAAUGACAAAAAUGCUUCUCCUCUGCAGGUUAUUUUCCGUUGUACGCACUCGCUUCGUAUGUGGUCUAUGCUACAACGUGCGGAGUACCAACCGCUAUUCAAGGCGGUGUGUACGCGAUUGGAGCAGGUGGCUAUGGAGUUUUUUACCCAACAUGGGUGGCAGCAUAAUCUCCGCAUCGGUCCACCAACCAUUUCGACAUAG